UAAUACGGGGGGAGCAAGCGUUGUUCGGAUUUACUGGGCGUAAAGGGCUCGUAGGCGGCCAACUAAGUCGGACGUGAAAUCCCCAGGCUCAACCUGGGAACUGCGUCCGAUACUGGAUGGCUUGAAUCCGGGAGAGGGAUGCAGAAUUCCAGGUGUAGCGGUGAAAUGCGUAGAUAUCUGGAGGAAUACCGGUGGCGAAGGCGGCAUCCUGGACCGGCAUUGACGCUGAGGAGCGAAAGCCAGGGGAGCAAACGG
RNAcentral lists this ribosomal RNA (255 nucleotides) under uncultured prokaryote. RNAcentral's name for it is "partial 16S ribosomal RNA". It matches the Rfam family "Bacterial small subunit ribosomal RNA", at positions 521 to 775 of the family's 1533-position model. The record is from RNAcentral.